UGCACUACUAACACUCUAAUUAGUUUGUGAAUUAUGGACGAUAAGUAUAAAAUUAAAAAGAAAAAAAAAACUAGUUGUCUCUUAAAUGUGGAUUAUAAUUUAUACAUAAUUUAUUAGUAAUCCUUUUUCUUUAUUUCAACCAUUUAAUUCUUUGCAGCCUUCACAAUUAAACAUUUUUUGCCUGAAUAUCAUCAAGUAUAUAGAGAUUAUUGUUGAGCUGAAAAGUAAUCCAUCACUUAAACACCCUUUGCUAGAAAACAUAAAAAAUGUAAUGUAUAAGUCAAAUAUCAUUUUUGUACAUAUAUAUAAUGCGUUUUGUAUUUCUAAUCGGUUACUUAUAACAAGCAAAAAUAUAUACGUCUCUCUUUUUUUAGGUUGAUUAAUUGACUCCUACAAACUUUCCAUUUGCAAAAUCGUCAAAAAAAUUCAGGGCUAUAAGUGUAAAACACAAGUAUCAAGGACAAGAGGUAAUGGAAGAAGGGGGAGAAUCACCGGUUAGUAAAAAUGUAAGCCCUAUGAUUACAAAUGAAGCUAUAACAUCAGCAGCGGAAAGUCCAGCUUUACAACGUGGCCUUGAACUUCUAAGAUCAGCUAGAAAUAAAGAUGCGCGAAAAAGAAAGACUAUAGAAGAAGGCAAAUUAGAAGCCAUUGCUCCAAAAGGCAUGGGUAUCAAGAGUAAAGAAACAACAAGUAGCAAAGAAAUUUUGGCUACAAUUCCAGAAAAUUAUGAGAUCAUGCUACCAAUUAAAUUCUUAGAAAUUGACAUCGCGGGAAAUGCCCUCAUAUUAUUCUUCCAAGAAAAGGAAAAGAUUUUCCGAGUCCAUAUAAAGAAGUAGUCAAAUGUCCAUCCUACAAUCGAUAUGGGAGAGUUAAUGAUUUCAGUUCUUUUAAAUCUUUGUAAAGAUAUAGCCAUUUUCGACCCCAAUGUAUUUGAAAUUACAACUAAUUAAUGUAAUAAUAUUUUAAAUUUUCAUGUGUAUCAUAAUUUUUGGUAUAGAUUCAGGAAUUUUCAUGAGUUAUGAUUAUUUAAUUGUUUAUUCACUAUUUUAUAUUAAACCGUAAGAAUGAAGUCCCUUUUGAUAAAAAGAAAAUGAGAAAACUUUAUUGAUAUACAACACAUGCACAAAUCAUAAAUACUCUAUAUGAAGUUGCACAACAACAAAAAUAUUACUUUGAUAUGAGAAAAAUCAUAAUUGUAUAUGUUGCAAACAAAUUAGAUGGGUUAGUGGUCAUUUCCCUCCUACAUAAAGUGUCACAUUUUUAAUAAUGUUGAAAACACUAUCAAAUAGAAAGAAGAUCAUAGCAAAGGUGAAAAUAAUUUGUUUCUAUCAAGAUUUAUCAUUAUAGCUUUUGUACAUUGUCUAGUUUGAUUCAUUGUGCUUGAAUUUAAAUCUUCUAGAUUCCAUAGAGAAUUUGUACAAGUUGUUUUUUUUUAAAAAAAUUGUGUUAUCAUGGUCUUUGAUAGAAAUUCCAGAAUUUAUUUGGUUAGGACAAAUAAUUUUCUAUUAAUAAAAAGGCCUUAAGCUAAUUUGAUUAAAAAAGAAGAAAGAAAAGAAGGUAGUACUGAAUGACCUUGAGUUACACCAAAUCUUAUAAUUUUAAGGGUAAGUUACAAAGCUGAACUUUUUGUUGUUGAUUCUAUAGCUUCAUUUAUUCUCAUGAGACUUACGAUUCUACUAAUUGAUACUUCUGCACCCUUCCCCUCCUUUACUUUUUGUCAUCGAUAUUACUAGUGUUUUGCACUUGUAGCCUUGACUUUUUUUUGAAUGAUUUUGCCAAUAAAGGCUUUGUAAAAGCCAUUAGAGUUGAUUGAUCAACCUAAAUAAAAGAGAGAGGGAAAUACUUUUUUGCCUGUUAUAUAUACGGACUAUAUAUAUAUAUAUAUAUACACAUCUAUGACUUUCGAGGGGAAGGGGAAUGUUUAAGGGUGUUCGAUUGAUCGAUUAAUUCUAAGCCAAACACAACACUUAACUUGUAAAUACAUUAUGAUUUAUCGAUGGUGAUAUUUAGUUGAUCUUUGAUUUAUAUACAUGUGAUAAUUUUCAGACAAAAAUUGUUCAAUUAAUAGGUCACACCUGAGCCUAGAAUAAAGAGUAUUCGAUCGAUUAGUCUUGAGCAUAAUAAAGGUCUUUGACAUAUAUGCACUGUGUCAUUUUCAAGCAAAAAAUAUUUAAUUGAUCAAUUUGAACUUACUGACAAUCUUUCACCUAUAUGUAAGUUAUGAUUUUCUGGACAAAAAAUACUAAAUUGAUUAACUUAUUUUGAACUGAUUGAUUACUAUGUAUUUAUAUAACUUCCUCAGUAAUUUCAGUAUAUCAAACUAACAAAGAAAUUGAUAAAGAGACAACAAAGAAAUUCUCCUCAUGAACUUAAGUUCUAUUAUGUAAUUAUGAAAUAGUCAAGCUUAAUAUAUUUUGUGUUUGUGUUUUGUUUGGUCAAAUUAUGAUCAUCUUUUGAGGAAACUUGCAUUUAAUGUGAAGUAAAGGUUUUUUUUACUUAAAUUGUUAUUUUCUUUACUUUUUGUCACAAUUUAUUUUUAACAAAGAAAUUAUGGUGCAUCUAACCAUCCUAUACAUUACAACAAUCAAUCUCUCUUUAUGAGAGUUGACUGAAUUAGUGAUAAGUAAUUAAUCAUUUUCUUCAUUUUAACUAUUUAAUCUCUUUCUUCCCUUCACAAUUACCAACUUGUUGCUCUUUCUCUUCUUUUCUUCAAUUGAGGUAACUUGAUUGCUUAUUUUUUUCUUCUUUUUCUUUAUAAUUUGAUACACUAAAAAUACUGAUUGAGUCACAUAAACACAAAGUAAUCAAUCAAUCUAUCAUUUUAACAUUUUUUUUUGCCUAAAACCAUAGAAUACAUAUAGGUCAAAGAUCGUCACCUGGCUCAAAACUGAACGAUCAAUUUUCUUUUGCUUGAAAAUCACACAACGCAUAUAGGUCAAGGACCAUUGUUAUACUCAAGACUUAUUGAUCGAGUUCUCUUUGUUUUUAGUCAUAGAAUGCAUAUAAUAUAGAUACUGUUUCUAGGCUCAAGUGUGACCUAUUAAUUAAACAAUCUUUGCCUGAAAAUUAUAGAACGUAUAUAAAUCAAAGACCAGUUCAAUAUCAUCACUGAAAAAUCAUAAGAUAUUUAUUGGUCAAAUGUCGUAUCUAGCUUAAAAUCGAUUGAUCAAUUGAUUAGAUAACAUUGUCCUAAAAAGUCACAUAUAGAUGUAUACAUAUCAAAACAAUCCAUAUAUAUAGCAAGUAAAAGAAUAUUUUUCUCUCUCUUUUAUAUAGGUUGGUCAAUCAACACAAAUGGAUUCUACAAAGCCCCCAUUAGCAAAUUCAUCAAAGAAGCCAAGGCUACAAGUGCAAAACACUAGUAGUAUCAAGGACAAAAAAGUAAUGGAGGAAGGGGAGCAGGCAGAAGUAUCAAUUCGUAGAACUGUAAGCCCCAUGAGCAUAAAUGAAGCUAUAACAUCAGCAGCAGAAAAUCCAGCUUUGCAACGUGCCCUUGAAAUUAUAAGAUUUAGGAGAACUCAAGAAAGAAAAGAAAAGCAUGGAGAUCAAGAAUAAAGGAGCAACAAGUAGCAAAGAGAUUUUGACCACAAUUCCAGAAGAUGAUGUGAUCAUACCACCAAUCAAACCCUUAGAAAUUUAGUAUCUUCCUUUUCAAUGUUUAGAAGGUGAAAUGUAUCUUAAUCUUAACUAUAACUAUCUUGAUGCUUAAUUUGAGACUGUUAAAUAAAAAUUCAGAAAUGACUAAUAUUAAAGGUUUUGAGAAAUCUAUCUCUAUAAUUUAUGUAUUUACCAUUUAUAGCAUGAGAAGAGAGGCUAGCUAGAUUGGGAGAGAAGGAGGAGAGAUGCUAGAUACAAAUUACAUUUGAUGAAUUUAAGUUGUAUCAACGAAUACACAAUGAUAUAUGAAUGUUGAUAUAAUUGUAUCAGAUACAUACUCGUUGAUACAUGUUGUAUCACUUGUAUUCAUUCACGGUAUAGAAAUACAGACUGACAUAAGUUGUAUUUGACACAUACAUGCUACUAAUACAGUUGUAUCAACUGUAUUCACUCGCUAUACAAAAAUAUAGGUUGUAUUCUAUACAUACAAAUCGAUACAAGUCGUGUUUAGUACAUAUAAGAUUAUACAAGUUGAUACAAUUUUAUCCCUAGUAUGUGUUCACUUUUGUAUCGCUUUUCAUUCGCGAUACCAAAAUAAAGAAAUAUAGAUUGAUAGGUACAUGUUGAUCCAAAACAGUGUGUUGAAACGACUAGAGAGUUGCACUUGACACAAGUAGUUUCUUCUCUUUUUUCCCAUGUAUUCAUUCCCUCUAUUUGGCAAAAUAGAGUUGAAUAAAUAAUGUCCCUAUUAUGUGGAGUAUCAUAGUGAAAUAUAUUGUGUGUGUAUAUACAGGGAGGCGAGCAAGAGAGAAAGAGAGAGUAGAGUGCAACAAAGGAGGGAGAGACGGAGCAAGGAGGCAUGCAUAAUUGAAAGAGAAAAAAGAA
Long non-coding RNA from Solanum lycopersicum (tomato), 4482 nucleotides. RefSeq lists it as uncharacterized. The record is from RefSeq and is a predicted model, not a curated record. Lineage: Eukaryota; Viridiplantae; Streptophyta; Magnoliopsida; Solanales; Solanaceae.